GCCAAUUAAACAAUAGGUGAUUUAUUUGCUUAAAUAUAAUGUACAAUUACAAUGUCAAGUUUUUUUUCAACAAAGGCAAACUUGUACGACGAGAUAAACUUCAAUUUGAAGUAUACACGGAAGCGAUAAGAUGCCCACCGAACGAAAACUUCAACCAAUGCAAAUUUAGCUUGGAUUAUUCUUUCCUUCAAAAUAUGUUGCAACAAGAUCAGCGGGCAUUUUACCAAAUUUGUGUGUGAAAAAAAGAAAAAACUUUUCUGCGUAUCGGGGAAACAAUUUCCCAAGCCAUGGUGAAAAUAGUCACGUAGGCAAAGAGAAGAACAAUACCAACAUUGAAAAUAGCGGUAUUCUAUACCGACACUGAAAAAUCAGCAAAGAAUACCGCUAUUUUCAGUGUCAGUAUUAUACUUCUCUUCGUCUAACAUGGCUAUUUUCAUCAUUGUUUGGGAAAUUGUUUCUCUGAUGCACA
This 469-nucleotide unclassified non-coding RNA is filed under the name Hevea brasiliensis (rubber tree). Lineage: Eukaryota; Viridiplantae; Streptophyta; Magnoliopsida; Malpighiales; Euphorbiaceae. The record is from RNAcentral.